GAUGAACGCUGACAGAAUGCUUAACACGUGCAAGUCGACUCGAGUCUUCGGACUUGGGUGGCGCACGGGUGAGUAACGCGUAAAGAACUUGCCUCUUAGACUGGGACAACAUCUGGAAACGGAUGCUAAUACCGGAUAUUAUGGUUUCUUCGCAUGGAGGAAUCAUGAAAGCUAGAUGCGCUAAGAGAGAGCUUUGCGUCCCAUUAGCUGGUUGGUGAGGUAACGGCCCACCAAGGCAAUGAUGGGUAGCCGGCCUGAGAGGGUGAACGGCCACAAGGGGACUGAGACACGGCCCUUACUCCUACGGGAGGCAGCAGUGGGGAAUAUUGGACAAUGGACCACAAGUCUGAUCCAGCAAUUCUGUGUGCACGAUGACGUUUUUCGGAGUGUAAAGUGCUUUCAGUCGGGAAGAAGUCAGUGACGGUACCGACAGAAGAAGCGACGGCUAAAUACGUGCCAGCAGCCGCGGUAAUACGUAUGUCGCAAGCGUUAUCCGGAUUUAUUGGGCGUAAAGCGCGUCUAGGCGGCAAGGAAAGUCUGAUGUGAAAAUGCGGAGCUCAACUCCGUAUGGCGUUGGAAACUGCCUUACUAGAGUACUGGAGAGGUAGGCGGAACUACAAGUGUAGAGGUGAAAUUCGUAGAUAUUUGUAGGAAUGCCGAUGGGGAAGCCAGCCUACUGGACAGAUACUGACGCUAAAGCGCGAAAGCGUGGGUAGCAAACAGG
This 724-nucleotide ribosomal RNA is filed under the name uncultured Fusobacterium sp. Its description in RNAcentral is "bacterial SSU rRNA". It matches the Rfam family "Bacterial small subunit ribosomal RNA", at positions 28 to 776 of the family's 1533-position model. Lineage: Bacteria; Fusobacteriati; Fusobacteriota; Fusobacteriia; Fusobacteriales; Fusobacteriaceae. The record is from RNAcentral.